This 253-nucleotide ribosomal RNA is filed under the name uncultured bacterium. Its description in RNAcentral is "partial 16S ribosomal RNA". It matches the Rfam family "Bacterial small subunit ribosomal RNA", at positions 524 to 776 of the family's 1533-position model. The record is from RNAcentral.
GACAGAGGGUGCAAACGUUGUUCGGAAUUACUGGGCGUAAAGCGCGUGUAGGCGGUUAUGCAAGUCGGGUGUGAAAGCCCGGAGCUCAACUCCGGAAGUGCAUUCGAUACUGCGUAGCUAGAGUACUGGAGAGGAUGGUGGAACUCUCGGUGUAGAGGUGAAAUUCGUAGAUAUCGAGAAGAACACCGGUGGCGAAGGCGGCCAUCUGGACAGAUACUGACGCUGAGACGCGAAAGCGUGGGGAGCAAACAGG